GCUCCGGUGGCCUAGUGGUUAGAGCGUCCGCCUCAGAUGUGGGAGGACGUGGUUCGAUCCCCGGUCGAGUCA
Non-coding RNA from Potamilus streckersoni, 72 nucleotides. Lineage: Eukaryota; Metazoa; Mollusca; Bivalvia; Unionida; Unionidae. The record is from the annotation of a GenBank genome assembly.